Small nuclear RNA from Cornus florida, 104 nucleotides. The record is from RefSeq and is a predicted model, not a curated record. Lineage: Eukaryota; Viridiplantae; Streptophyta; Magnoliopsida; Cornales; Cornaceae.
AAAGUCAUUGCACCUAAUAUACGUUUGGUGGAAAAAUACAGAGAAGAUUAGCAUGGCCUUGCGCAAGGAUGACACGCACAAAUUGAGAAAUGGUCCAAAUAUUU